AGCUCUGUAAGCGUAUACCAAAGUUGUUGCAGUUAAAACGCUCGUAGUCGGACCUUGGCGGGCGACCAGGGGCGUCUUCACGGACGUGUUUUGGUUGGCCGCCUUUGUGGAGGGGGGCCCAGUGGUGCUUCACUGCGCUACUGUGGUCGCUGCCACCUUUUACUGUGAAAAAAUUAGAGUGUUCAAAGCGGGCGUUUGCCAUGAAUACAUUAGCAUGGAAUAAUAGAAUAGGACCUGUUUCCUGUUUUGUUGGUUUGUGAGGAUCGGGUAAUGAUUAAGAGGGACGGUUGGGGGCAUUUGUAUUCCGGCGUCAGAGGUGAAAUUCUUGGAUUGUCGGAAGACAAACGGCUGCGAAAGCGUCUGCCAAGGACGUUUUCA
Molecule: ribosomal RNA, 378 nt
Filed under: uncultured eukaryote
Lineage: Eukaryota
Description: SSU rRNA
Rfam family: Eukaryotic small subunit ribosomal RNA
Source: RNAcentral